CAAUAGCGUAUAUUAAAGUUGUUGCAGUUAAAAAGCUCGUAGUUGGAUUUCUGGUCGGAGCGACCGGUCGGCGUCCUUUGUGGCGUGUGCACUGUUGUCGGCUCCGUCCAUCCUAGUGGGAAGGCGCGUUGGCAUUCAUUUGUCGGCGCGUGGCCCCGCUACGUUUACUGUGAAAAAAUUAGAGUGUUUAAAGCAGGCGUUCGCUGUGAAUACAUUAGCAUGGAAUAAUGAGAUAGGACUUUGGUACUAUUUUGUUGGUUUGCGCACCAAGGUAAUGAUUAAUAGGGAUAGUUGGGGGUAUUCAUAUUCAAUUGUCAGAGGUGGAAUUCUUGGAUUGUGUUGCGACGAACUACUGCGAAAGCAUUUGCCAAGGAUGUUUUCAUUGAUCAAGAACGAAAGUAAGGGGAUCGAAGAUGAUCAGAUACCAU
Molecule: ribosomal RNA, 428 nt
Filed under: uncultured eukaryote
Lineage: Eukaryota
Description: bacterial SSU rRNA
Rfam family: Eukaryotic small subunit ribosomal RNA
Source: RNAcentral